CAUCAGGAGGUUAGUGCAAUGGCAUAAGCCAGCUUGACUGCGAGCGUGACGGCGCGAGCAGGUGCGAAAGCAGGUCAUAGUGAUCCGGUGGUUCUGAAUGGAAGGGCCAUCGCUCAACGGAUAAAAGGUACUCCGGGGAUAACAGGCUGAUACCGCCCAAGAGUUCAUAUCGACGGCGGUGUUUGGCACCUCGAUGUCGGCUCAUCACAUCCUGGGGCUGAAGUAGGUCCCAAGGGUAUGGCUGUUCGCCAUUUAAAGUGGUACGCGAGCUGGGUUUAGAACGUCGUGAGACAGUUCGGUCCCUAUCUGCCGUGGGCGCUGGAGAACUGAGGGGGGCUGCUCCUAGUACGAGAGGACCGGAGUGGACGCAUCACUGGUGUUCGGGUUGUCAUGCCAAUGGCACUGCCCGGUAGCUAAAUGCGGAAGAGAUAAGUGCUGAAAGCAUCUAAGCACGAAACUUGCCCCGAGAUGAGUUCUCCCUGAGACUUAGAGUCUCCUGAAGGAACGUUGAAGACGACGACGUUGAUAGGCCGGGUGUGUAAGCGCAGCGAUGCGUUGAGCUAACCGGUACUAAUGAACCGUGAGGCUUAACCUU
RNAcentral lists this ribosomal RNA (595 nucleotides) under Salmonella enterica. RNAcentral describes it as "partial 23S ribosomal RNA". It matches the Rfam family "Bacterial large subunit ribosomal RNA", at positions 2336 to 2925 of the family's 2925-position model. RNAcentral also lists the same sequence under 2 other names. The record is from RNAcentral. Lineage: Bacteria; Pseudomonadati; Pseudomonadota; Gammaproteobacteria; Enterobacterales; Enterobacteriaceae.